Molecule: long non-coding RNA, 1035 nt
Filed under: Sinocyclocheilus grahami
Lineage: Eukaryota; Metazoa; Chordata; Actinopteri; Cypriniformes; Cyprinidae
Description: lncRNA (ENSSGRG00000010632.1)
Source: RNAcentral
AUUUGUGUAUAUAGGGCAAAACCUAAUUUCAGCUUUUAUGUGUUCUGCAGGAAGAGUUAAAGGGAUCUGAAUUCAGCUCCUGUGAGGUUGACAGUAAGGUAUUUGAUGAAAGUCUGAACACCACACCGCCAUGUUCUGUGGACAUCUGUUUCCCCAGUGAAGAACUUUAUACAUCUAUAGGUAAAUGUUUUUCCUAAAAUCUCUUGGAUCUUACUUGGCUACCAUAUUUACCACAUUUGUUUCUGUAACAGAACCUGGGGCUUUGAGCACUUCCACUCUAAUUUACAAGAUGUUUGAAGACGUCCUGCAACAUGCAGACAAGGAAGGUGAAGAUGGAAAUAAGGAAGAGGGGGUGGAGAAAGAUGAGAGCAAUUCAUCUGAGACUGAAAAGGAAGACAAAACGGAAUCGGACACAGUUGAAAAGGAAGACAAACAGGAACCAGUCACAGUCACAUUAAAUGAGUAUCCUCUUGACCAGAGUGAGAUGUGUGAAGAGAGUGAAGAAACUCCUGAUGCCAGUUCUGCAACAGAGAAAGAGAAGGAGCUCCAGUCUGUUGAUGAUGGUGAAGGAGAGAUGGAAGAAAAGCAGGAGAGCACCCCCAUGGUUGAUGAGGACUUUCUAACCCUGCCACCCAGCUGUAUCCUCUCUCCUCUCAGCAAAUCUGUGGAGGCUGUUGUCACACCACUGAACAUUGAAAUCAUUGUGUCUGAGCCAUCAGUACAGCUGCCCUCACCUGAAGAAAUGACAGCUAGUCCUGCUGACUGCGGUCAACCUUUAUACAGCAUUGACGCCUACCGCUCACAGAGGAAGAUCCAUCCCCCCUCUACUCAGAGCUUGACCCCUGGAGUUCAGAAGCAGGUUCAAGAGAAGACCUGCUCAAAAAAGCCCAUAAACAUCAAGGAGAGAAUUAAGGUUUGAAACUUAUACUGAGAGACUUACCGGGGUAUUUUAGGAGACUUCAUGCAUGCAAGAUCUGAUGCAAGUUAUUUUAUUUGUUCCAUUAAGGUUUUAAACGAGGAGGCAGCCAAGUUGCA